This 262-nucleotide ribosomal RNA is filed under the name uncultured bacterium. Its description in RNAcentral is "partial 16S ribosomal RNA". It matches the Rfam family "Bacterial small subunit ribosomal RNA", at positions 524 to 784 of the family's 1533-position model. The record is from RNAcentral.
GACGGAUGGGGCUAGCGUUAUUCGGAAUUACUGGGCGUAAAGGGCGCGUAGGCGGUCAAUUAAGUUAGGCGUGAAAGCCCUGGGCUCAACCCAGGAACUGCGUUUAAUACUGGUUGGCUAGAGUAUGGUGGAGGAAAGCGGAAUUCCUAGUGUAGAGGUGAAAUUUCGUAGAUAUUAGGAAGAACACCAGAGGCGACGGCGGCUUUCUGGACCAUUACUGACGCUGAGGCGCGAAAGCGUGGGGAGCAAACAGGAUUAGAUA